RNAcentral lists this ribosomal RNA (797 nucleotides) under uncultured Glomus. Its description in RNAcentral is "SSU rRNA". It matches the Rfam family "Eukaryotic small subunit ribosomal RNA", at positions 314 to 1114 of the family's 1831-position model. The record is from RNAcentral. Lineage: Eukaryota; Fungi; Glomeromycota; Glomeromycetes; Glomerales; Glomeraceae.
AUCAACUUUCGAUGGUAGGAUAGAGGCCUACCAUGGUGGUAACGGGUAACGGGGUGUUAGGGCACGACACCGGAGAGGGUGCCUGAGAAACGGCUACCACAUCCAAGGAUGGCAGCAGGCGCGCAAAUUACCCAAUCCCGACACGGGGAGGUAGUGACAAUAAAUAACAAUACGGGGUUCUUUCGGAUUUCGUAAUUGGAAUGAGUACAAUUUAAAUCUCUUAACGAGGAACAAUUGGAGGGCAAGUCUGGUGCCAGCAGCCGCGGUAAUUCCAGCUCCAAUAGCGUAUAUUAAAGUUGCUGCAGUUAAAAAGCUCGUAGUUGAAUUUCGGGAUCAAUAUGUUUGGUCGUGCCUCGGUACGCACUGGCUUAUUGGUUUCUCCCUUCUGACGAACCAUGAUGUCAUCAAUUUGGUGUCAUGGGAAAUCAGGACUGUUACUUUGAAAAAAUUAGAGUGUUUAAAGCAGGCUCACGCUUGAAUACAUUAGCAUGGAAUAAUGAAAUAGGACGUUUGAUUCUAUUUUGUUGGUUUCUAGGAUCGACGUAAUGAUUAAUAGGGAUAGUUGGGGCAUUAGUAUUCAAUUGUCAGAGGUGAAAUUCUUGGAUUUAUUGAAGACUAACUACUGCGAAAGCAUUUGCCAAGGAUGUUUUCAUUAAUCAAGAACGAAAGUUAGGGGAUCGAAGACGAUCAGAUACCGUCGUAGUCUUAACCAUAAACUAUGCCGACUAGGGAUCGGAUGAUGUUAAUUUUUUAAUGACUCAUUCGGCGCCUUACGGGAAACCAAAGUGUUUGGGUUC